Molecule: ribosomal RNA, 484 nt
Filed under: uncultured bacterium
Lineage: Bacteria
Description: partial 16S ribosomal RNA
Rfam family: Bacterial small subunit ribosomal RNA
Source: RNAcentral
AUUGAACGCUGGCGGCAGGCCUAGCACAUGCAAGUCGAGCGGAUGAAGGGAGCUUGCUCCUGGAUUCAGCGGCGGACGGGUGAGUAAUGCCUAGGAAUCUGCCUGGUAGUGGGGGAUAACGUCCGGAAACGGGCGCUAAUACCGCAUACGUCCUGAGGGAGAUAGUGGGGGAUCUUCGGACCUCACGCUAUCAGAUGAGCCUAGGUCGGAUUAGCUAGUUGGUGGGGUAAAGGCCUACCAAGGCGACGAUCCGUAACUGGUCUGAGAGGAUGAUCAGUCACACUGGAACUGAGACACGGUCCAGACUCCUACGGGAGGCAGCAGUGGGGAAUAUUGGACAAUGGGCGAAAGCCUGAUCCAGCCAUGCCGCGUGUGUGAAGAAGGUCUUCGGAUUGUAAAGCACUUUAAGUUGGGAGGAAGGGCAGUAAGUUAAUACCUUGCUGUUUUGACGUUACCAACAGAAUAAGCACCGGCUAACUUCGUG